Molecule: long non-coding RNA, 7275 nt
Organism: Heterocephalus glaber (naked mole-rat)
Lineage: Eukaryota; Metazoa; Chordata; Mammalia; Rodentia; Bathyergidae
Source: Ensembl
AGCAGGAAUGGCAGCAGCUGUCUGUCCUCUGCUGCUGUUAAUAGCAACAUAGAAAAUAAUUUGUCUGAUUAGUUUGUCCUUGUAGAGCAAUUAGAAAGAAAACUUGAAACAUAUUUGCCUUGAGACCAGAGAAAGCCCCUACCCAAACUCAGUUACUGAGUCACCCUUCUACUCCCGACGGAAGUGCAGUCCACCCUUCAGAAACCUGAGCAGCUGUCCUGCACCUUUCCUGGAGGUUCAUAUCCUUCCUGAGCUGUGCCCACAGAAACGAUUGAGGACAUUCACCAGCCAGACAGUCACAGAGUUCAUCAUGGCAGGGAACCAGCCAGUACGGCAAAAGGAAGAGGUCCCCACUUGCCACCGGCCUCAUCAGAUCCAGGUCUAGCCCCGAUCUUCGCCCCUUGUCAGCAGGAAGCAGCUCCAGAAGAAGAGACCUUCGCCCAACUAUCAUAAAACAAAAGCCUGGAAUGAUAGGUCUCCCACCACCUCAGCAGCUAUUAAGUAUAGUAGCUGCCCUCUUCCUAUGGUGCCUUGCCCCCUCCCCUGUGUGACAUCAUGCCAAGAUGGUUGCUCCCACCAAAGAACAAACCCUUCUUCCCAGCAUGCCCCUGUUCCAACCUAGACAGUAACCUAAUACUUGCUCACCUCCUACCACCUAGUGACAUCACCGGCUCCUCCAUUCCCUAGUCACUACCUCACUCAACCCCACCUUAGCCCCUACAAGCCCCACCCCAGUCUCUAUAAAAGACUCUCCCUGCCCCAGCCAUAUUGCUUUUGUCUCUCCUUUGUUCAGAGACAGCCCGGCAGAUCUAUUCCCCUAAUAAAGGCUUGUUGUGGCCUGGUCUGGUCUUGGUCUUCGGCCCUUUUACCUGACAUUUCUGGUGCCGUGACUCGGAUGGUAGAUGGUCCAUUAAGGGACGAUCCCCCGCAGGACGGGGUUGAUUGACCUUUUGGCCAUCUCCAACGGACCUAUCUGCCGUUGCCAGGACCCUCCGGGGCUUUCUACCUUUGCCAUUGCUGACGCUACACAUCCACACCGGUCACCAAUGUCUGGGUGAGUAGGGAGUUCAGCCUCCCUCUCGUCGGGUUCUCUGUCUCGUUCUCUCUCCCUCCGGGGACUUCUCAGAAAUCCAAGCGCUUGGUCAGAGAAACCCCCACGGCCUCUGGGCCCAGGACCGUGCCCCUGGGAGACGUCCCAUCGGCCCGCCUCCUCUCGUUCUCUCCCUCUGGGAGACUCACUCGGAGAUUGUCAAAGGAGACAAGGACGCUUCUCCCCUUUGUCUUUCUCCCCAGGGGCUGCCUCCCCCUCACCCGCUCUAAUCAGGGGGCCCAACAAUCCAAACCCCGCCCCUCAACGCCUCUGGGCUGCCUUCUGGCACAACUCAAACCCCUCGGAUUGUUGGGACCAGACUUUAGGCCAAAAAGAUUUGUUUUCUAUUGUAAUCAGGUUUGGCCUCAGUAUAAAUUAGAUAAUGGGUUUCCACGCCCCAAAAAUGGCACUUUCAAUUUUAACAUACUGUGUGAUUUACACAACUUCUGUCAGUGCAAUGGCAAAUGGUCAGAAAUCCCCUACAUACAAGCCUUUUCUACCUAUGCUCUUAACCCUCCCUCUGUCAAACCUGUUCUUCUCAAGUACUCCUAGCCUGAGCUGAUCACUCACCGCUCAUACCUCCCCCACUUUAUAACUCUGUUGAUAAGAAAAAGUUUUAAAGCUUAAUAGAUUAGCUAUUAAAGUAGUUGUGGAAGCAAACUAAGUAGUGUAUCCCUUUAAAAACUUGCAUUAGCCCAUUGCUUCUGCUGUUCAAAGUAAAGGUUAUAUAGCUUCUUUGAUUUGUAGCUCCACUAUAGAUAACAUCCUAACUAAAGAAUGAAGUAAAAAUCCUUGAACAAACUUGUGAUAUAUGUGCCUUAAUUGUCAUGUGUUUAGGGCUGUAAUCAGUGACAGAAACCACCUGUGUCUAACCAUUAAACAGGAAUUAGAACUUUAUUUACUUAACAAAGACCACUAGGGAUGAGAUAAUGAUGGACAAAAGUAUAAAAUGUUUAUAGUGAGUCGGAGACAAAAUAUUUAAAAAGCUAUAAGUAAAAGAUAUAUUUUUGAUAUAAAAGGAUUUUAUAUGUUUGUCUUAUUAGCAGGACAAGACCAAAAGGCCUAAGUACAUCAAGAAGGUGUGCGAAAGUGAUUUAUAAAGGAAAUAUAUGUUUACUUGUUGGUUUCAAGUUUAUUAUAAAAGGUUUACAGGAAUAGAGGUUUCAUUCCUUCUGAUUUUAAUUCUACAAGAGAUCUCUGUUAAUUGACUUACAAAAAGUUUUAAAUAGUCUUAUUUAUAAUUAUAAACCUAAAAUUAUAAAGAGAUUAUAAUUCCAUUGGGCUAAAUAUAUUUGAGUGCACUCUAGUUUUAGAAAUUGUCUUAUAUCUUUGUUUUUGUCCAAUCCUACAGCUGUUUUAUUUAUAGAUAAAGGUUAUUAAGUUCAAGGCAUGCUCCCCUUGGUGAACAAAGGAGCAGCCGCAUGGAAAUAUUUUCCAGUCUUUGUUCACUAGGGGGACCUCAACAGUUUUCAUCUUACAAGAGACUGACCCAAUAGUUUUCAUAGCCUUAUAAAAGACUUACAGGAAUAAAUAUUAUUUAAAUAUAUUAUUAUACUGUUUAUAUCAAUUGUCAUCAAAGGGAUAAAUUCUAAAUAUGUUAUUAUGGUGUGCUUACACUGGUCAUUUUCAAAGGACUAAAUAUCCUGUAAAAAACAACAAUAACAAGGUUUUAUUUUUUCUAGUGUACUAAAUGUAUUUAUACUUUCUUACUGUACAGGUUUUCUAAUAUUUGUUUAUGAUAAUAACCUCUUUUUGAUUCAGGUAUUUGCCUUUUCAUACACUCUAGCUAUUUAUGAUAACAGAUACAUAUACGGGGUAUUUUCUUUAGAUGGUAUCCUAUCAAAAGAUUAUUUAUUUAUUUUUUUAAAAGAUAAUUUAGGUAAAAACUUUUGGUGUUUUAAAAAAAAUGAGUACAUUUAAUGAUGGCUAUUUUAUAUCAAGAUGGACAUUUAAAUGUGUUACAAAGGUAAAGUCAUCAUAAUUGUCAUGUUAAAAUAUUAUUUGUGGCUCUUUUUCUGUUAAUAUUCUACAGGAAUUCAACUACUAAAAAACAACCAUGACUGAUGACAGUAACAGUUCUCUAUAUUUUAAAUUCCAAAAUGUUUGUUAUUCAGGUAAAACUAUAAUAGUUAAGUUCAUUAUUCUUGUUACAAUGCUAAUGCUAUUGACCUUCUCUUCUGGGUGUUCAACAACUAAAGUUUGGAGACCAAAACUAAAAAGUAACUGGGCUAUGAGGACAGCCAAUAUUUUGGCCCUGGCCCCUCAAGGUCAACAAAGUUCCAGGACAUGAGGGAACCUUCUCUACAGGGUCCUACAUCUUUGGUAAGUCACUCAACCUCCUAAACUGGGAGAUUGCUGGACACCAGAGGACAAUGUACUGUGUGCCAAAGGAGGGUCACCAAGAAAAAACUCUCCACUGCUUUCACUGAAAGCAACUUGGUCAAACAAGGCCAUAACCCAUCCAGAUGGCUGACACUGACAGAGAAGCAGAGAGGCACUAUGCAUGGUUCCAAAGUAAUGGCCUGGGGAGACUUAACUGACCUUAAUAGAUAACAAGAGGUUCAUAUUGAUUGACACAGGUCUCACUUUAACUUGGUCUUAAACACCCAGCAGAAAAAAUAACCAAAAGAGGCACAAAACAAUGACAUAAUAAUAAAGCUAGACUUCAGAAAAAUUAAGACAUAGCCCACCCAUUAAAAUCUUUUGGUUCACUCAUGACACAGCCAUUUCAAAAAGACAAAACUUUGGGUACUAAAGAGAAGCAAAAAUCAUUAAUUAGCUACAAGUGUGUACAGAUUCUUUUCAAAAAAAAUUAAAAGAAGUUAUUUACAGGUAACCAAUCCUAGAAACCACUGGUCUCCAGAUCUCUCCUUUUAGAUAAGUGUUUUUCUGAUUCUGUGAUAACUAAUUAACUAUCGUGUAAUGAUAAAAAAAAAAACAACAAAAAACCAUAAAGUAAGAGUAUUGAGAAAAAAUCACGUGCUUGUCAGCCACAGUCAGGAUAAGUUCUAUACCAAGCAGCUACAAGAUUUAUUCCUUUUAAAAUAAUGUACAUCCUUGUUCUCUGUUUAUGAUGCCUCUUCUCAUUGUGCUCAUACUUUCUGGAUACCUACCCGUGUCUAAAAAGAUCAAGCCUUUUAUGCUACACUUGAUCACCUUAAGUCGUCCAGUGUCCUUGUUGAGGUUAUCAGUUCUCUUUAUUUUUAAAUAUAUCUAGGAGGCCUCCAAAAACUGAGAGAUACAGGAAUAAAACUGUCCUGGCCUUGAAUUUAAAGAAGAAGUCAGGUUCAUAGUAACACUACACUCAUUGGUAUGUUGGCCUCCAAAAGACAUUUGCUCAGUUACAUACACCUUUUAUAUUCCCCCCCCCAAAAAAAAGGAUUAUAAAGAUUAUAUAAAUUGUGUUUAUCACUUUUCCACUCAUUCUCUAAGAGCAAGGACAUGACACAUGGGCCCUUAGAUCAGGAGCUAUGAUCUCUUCCAUAACAGUCUCUUACUUCUAUAACAAAUGAGCCCCUAAACAUCCAGCUGUCUCUGUAAAACCUAUGUAAAUAAUAAAUAAAAAAUUACAUGUCAAAUGAAAAAAAUUAAAACUCAAUGGGCCAGAUAGAUAUGCCCCCAAGGUACUAAUCAAUACUGGGGUACGUUUGGUUCCUGGAGCUCAUGGCUCACCUGGCUAUUACUACUCUUGGGACCCCUCAGUAUUAUCUGUUUAAUUCUCUGUUUUGGACCGUGCCUGGUUCAGCUGUUUUCAAAAUUUCUUGCAGAAACGAUUGAGGACAUUCACCAGCCAGACAGUCACAGAGUUCAUCAUGGCAGGGAACCAGCCAGUACGGCAAAAGGAAGAGGUCCCCACUUGCCACCGGCCUCAUCAGAUCCAGGUCUAGCCCCGAUCUUCGCCCCUUGUCAGCAGGAAGCAGCUCCAGAAGAAGAGACCUUCGCCCAACUAUCAUAAAACAAAAGCCUGGAAUGAUAGGUCUCCCACCACCUCAGCAGCUAUUAAGUAUAGUAGCUGCCCUCUUCCUAUGGUGCCUUGCCCCCUCCCCUGUGUGACAUCAUGCCAAGAUGGUUGCUCCCACCAAAGAACAAACCCUUCUUCCCAGCAUGCCCCUGUUCCAACCUAGACAGUAACCUAAUACUUGCUCACCUCCUACCACCUAGUGACAUCACCGGCUCCUCCAUUCCCUAGUCACUACCUCACUCAACCCCACCUUAGCCCCUACAAGCCCCACCCCAGUCUCUAUAAAAGACUCUCCCUGCCCCAGCCAUAUUGCUUUUGUCUCUCCUUUGUUCAGAGACAGCCCGGCAGAUCUAUUCCCCUAAUAAAGGCUUGUUGUGGCCUGGUCUGGUCUUGGUCUUCGGCCCUUUUACCUGACACUAUUAAUUAGUAUGGUUGAGCCAUUCCACAAGGUAUACAUAUUUCAAACCUGUUAUACAUAAUAAAUACAGACAAUUUUGUUACAGAAUAAAAUAAAUGUCACAAACAAAAUGAUUACAAAUAUUGUGCUGAAUAAGAAGUAAUAUUAAGGUAAAGUUUUAUCAAAUUUCAGGAUUUGGGCUUCCAACUGGGAAUUACAGAAAUAAAAUUUCUGAAUGACAAUACAAAUCCUUAUGGAAAAUUUAUUUCAUUUUUACCUGUCAUUCCUCCAUAGAAGCAGAGAGGAAUUUUACCUCCAGAAAAGAAAGUGGGCUGAAGAUUGGCUGAAGGAGGAGAAACAAUCUAGUACACUCUAUUGAGCAUUUACUGGGGGGACACCAAGCAGGGAUACUAAGCCCCAUUUUGUAAAUGAGGAAAUAGAGGCCUAGAGAAUGAUUCUUGCAAAGUCACACCAAGGCGAUGAGCUAAUAUACAAACUUGUCUCACCUAACUGCAGAGUCUGAGUUUUCCUUCUGCCCUUUAACCUCAAGGGUUUCUUGGGCUUGGCUAGGGGGCCUAGCCAGAAGGGGAGGGCUUGUGAAGCCGGUGGAGGAAAACCUGUCAAUCACAGAGGUCUGCGGGUUAGGGAGCGGUGACUCAUUGCUCAGCCUUGAUGACUCCCCCACCCUGCCCGCCUUCUUCCUUCUAAAAGGGCAGGGUUUCCUAACCUUGGCUCAAUUAACAUUUCAGGCUGCACAAAUCUUUGUAGUCAGGGGCGGUCCCCUGCUUAGUAGGAUGUUCGGUUGCAUUCCUGACUUCGAUUCACUGUGCAACAGCGAUCUUUUCAGUUGAGACAAGAAAACAUAUGCUAGACUUCCAAAAGGCCCCUAUGAUGAAGAGUAAAAAGCACUGUUUUAUGGUGACCAGCCAUCCCAGUUUGCCAGGAAUUCAGUGCCCAAACCAGGAUAGUCCUGAACAAAUUGGGAUGUUCGGUGCUCUACAAGUGGAAUUGCAUCUCCUGGUUAAAUAAAAGCUGCGCUGGUAUCUGGCUGGGCAGGGUCUGGUGUUCUGUGUUAUGUCUGCUUGUGCUGAUGUCUUGGUUCUUGAAUCCUCUUUGAGGUUUGUUUACAAGGAGGUCGAGGAAAAGGAACCCAGGGUCAGAAAGUAGCAAUUUUAGAUAGCAGUUUGUGUAACAAGCAAGGUACACUCUUAAGCAGAGCUAACUUUUACUGAAGGCAGGACAUUCCCAGACUGGGCAGUGGCCAGCUCCGGGGAAGGCCAGAGCCUGGACAGAGCUGGGAGGGGUCCAAGUGUGCAGAGUCAGAGGUGCCAACUGCUGCUGGGACCAGGUUGGUUUCUUGUUUGUAUUUUUAGAACUUGGAAGAGAGAUUGAGGGUUGUUGCUAACUGGGCUUUUUCCAGUCCACAAGAGGAUCCACCCUCAUGUCCGGAGGGAGAGUUUUUGAUCUUAAGUGGUCUUAGUAGAAUGAACAUGGCUCUGCAAGGGGAGAAGGGAAAUUAAAGGCACAAGGCAAAUGUAUGUGGAUGGAGUCUAUUGGGUCAGACAAGGUCAGCCUGGGGCCUGAGUCCCCUUGUAAGACCGAGGGCCUUACCAAACGCUCCAAGGAGCUGACUAUAGUGAAGCACACCCAGGGAUCCCAGCGGUGCCUCCAGAAUGCAAGGCCAAGGGCCUUACCAAAUGCUCCAAGGAGCUGAAGUGGAGCACACCCGAGGAUCCCAGUGGUGCCUUCAGAAUGUGAGACCAAGGCCUUACCAAAUGCUCCAAGGAGCUAGCUACAGCGAGGACCACCCGGGAAGGAACACACCGG